CUGACAAUCAUUCAUCAUCAACUCGACACAUAUGGAUACAUAUCAACUUUUUGUUCACGGUUUAAAUCUUGAUAGCGAGUGUUAGAUUGUGGCUAGUAUUCCGUCCGACUGUAUUCAAUAAUUCAAUAGGCAUAGUUUGCCUGCCAUGGUCUUGUUGAUCUUUGUAACCGGUUGGAUUAUGGAAUCUUUUAUCCCUCCAACUAUAUAAUGAGAAGAUGUAGCCCACCAUUCAAAAAAAAGGAAGAAGAAGAUGCAGUCCCAAGAGGGUUUUCCUUCACAUAAUUCUUUCAAAAUGAAAUUUUCCUUCAGCUCACACACCUAGAGGACAGAGCUAG
This 335-nucleotide long non-coding RNA is filed under the name Sorghum bicolor (sorghum). RNAcentral describes it as "long non-coding RNA (SBIC_LNC015454)". The record is from RNAcentral. Lineage: Eukaryota; Viridiplantae; Streptophyta; Magnoliopsida; Poales; Poaceae.